RNAcentral lists this ribosomal RNA (406 nucleotides) under uncultured bacterium. Its description in RNAcentral is "bacterial SSU rRNA". It matches the Rfam family "Bacterial small subunit ribosomal RNA", at positions 355 to 775 of the family's 1533-position model. The record is from RNAcentral.
UGGGGAAUAUUGGGCGAUGGGCGCAAGCCUGACCCAGCAACGCCGCGUGAGGGAAGAAGGCUUUCGGGUUGUAAACCUCUGUCCUUGGUGACGAAACAAAUGACGGUAGCCAAGGAGGAAGCCCCGGCUAACUGCGUGCCAGCAGCCGCGGUAAUACGUAGGGGGCGAGCGUUGUCCGGAAUUACUGGGCGUAAAGGGUGCGUAGGUGGCCUUUUAAGUUGGAUGUGAAAUACCCGGGCUUAACCUGGGGGGUGCAUCUAAUACUGGGAGGCUAGAGUGCAGGAGAGGAAAGCGGAAUUCCUAGUGUAGCGGUGAAAUACGUAGAUAUUAGGAGGAACACCAGUGGCGAAGGCGGCUUUCUGGACUGUAACUGACACUGAGGCACGAAAGCGUGGGGAGCAAACAG